CGAGCGAAUCGUUACGGGAGGGUGUACCGUGGGAACGUGCCCUUCUCUCGGAAUACCGGGAAACUGGGAUAAUACGUAUACGCCCUUUGGGGGAAGAUUUAUCGGAAAGGAUCGCCCGCGUGGAUAGUAUUGGUGAGGUACGGUCACCAAGCCGACGAUCCAUACUGGUUUGAGAGGAUGAUCAGCCACACUGGGACUGAGACACGGCCCAGACUCCUACGGGAGGCAGCAGUGGGGAAUCUUAGACAAUGGGGGCAACUCUGAUCUAGCCAUGCCGCGUGAGUGAUGAAGCUUAGGGUUGUAAAGCUCUUUCAGCUGGGAAGAUAAUGACG
Molecule: ribosomal RNA, 332 nt
Filed under: uncultured bacterium
Lineage: Bacteria
Description: bacterial SSU rRNA
Rfam family: Bacterial small subunit ribosomal RNA
Source: RNAcentral